Molecule: long non-coding RNA, 455 nt
Filed under: Homo sapiens (human)
Lineage: Eukaryota; Metazoa; Chordata; Mammalia; Primates; Hominidae
Description: long independently transcribed non-coding RNA 1650 (LINC01650)
Source: RNAcentral
UGAAUUUUUCAUUUCUGCAAAGAUGGACUCCAGAACCUAGUGUGAAAUGGGAAUAUUGAGUAUGCUAUGUAAUCAAGGAAUGAAGGAGAAUGGAGCUAGAUCUGUAACAGGAGCUACAGAAAACAAGAUGGCAAACAAGGUCCCAGCAGAACCCAGAGUCGAAAACAAGAGAACCAGGCGAAUGUGAGCACCCACCAGACCCACCCACAGAGAAUCCUAGCGACUGAAGUCAUUUUAUGUUUGCCUUCAACUUGAGAUAAGUCCCAGAAAAUUGGAGGAUGUGGAGACCAGGAUGCCUCAUUGCACAACUCCAGGAGGCACAUUACAGUAGGUGUGCAAGAGGGCAUGACACUCAAGUUACAAACACAUCAUUUCAUUUAAUCUUCACAACACUCCUGGAAAAAAGGCAUUAUUAUCCUUGUCUUACAGAUAAAGAAACUGAGACUCCAAGAAUA